ACAAAAAGUAAGUAAGGGCACAUGGCGGAUGCCUUGGCUCUCGGAGGCGAUGAAGGACGUGAUAAGCUGCGAUAAGCUGCGGGUAGGUGCAAAUGACCUUUGAUCCGCGGAUUUCCGAAUGGGACAACCCGGUACUUUGAAGAAGUAUCAUCCUGCAUUGCAGGAGGCUAACGCAGGGAACUGAAACAUCUUAGUACCUGCAGGAAAAGAAAAUAAACAAUGAUUCCCCCAGUAGUGGCGAGCGAACGGGGAAUAGCCCAAACCAUCCAUGUUACGGCAUGGGUGGGGUUGUAGGACCACGCCGUGGCAAGAAAGUUGGUGAGCAGAAUGUUCUGGAAAGUACAGCCAUAGAGCAUGAGAGCUGCGUAUGCGAAGCCAAGCGAAGCCUAGUGGUAUCCUGAGUAGCGCGGAGCACGAGGAAUUCUGCGUGAAUCUGCCGGGACCAUCCGGUAAGGCUAAAUACUCCCGAGAGACCGAUAGUGAACCAGUACUGUGAAGGAAAGGUGAAAAGCACUUCGAACAGAAGAGUGAAAUAGUUCCUGAAACCAUGUGCCUACAAGCGGUCGGAGCACCUUCUGGUGUGACGGCGUGCCUUUUGCAUAAUGAACCUACGAGUUACUUUUUCCGGCGAGGUUAAGGAUUUCAGAUCUGCAGCCGAAGCGAAAGCGAGUCUGAACAGGGCGUAUAGUCGGAAGGAGUAGACGCGAAACCAAGUGAUCUACCCUUGGGCAGGUUGAAGGAUGGGUAACACCAUCUGGAGGACCGAACCAAUAAGCGUUGAAAAGCUUCUGGAUGACCUGAGGGUGGGGGUGAAAGGCUAAUCAAACUUGGAGAUAGCUCGUACUCCCCGAAAUGCAUUUAGGUGCA
This 867-nucleotide ribosomal RNA is filed under the name Bacteroides fragilis. RNAcentral describes it as "partial 23S ribosomal RNA". It matches the Rfam family "Bacterial large subunit ribosomal RNA", at positions 1 to 878 of the family's 2925-position model. The record is from RNAcentral. Lineage: Bacteria; Pseudomonadati; Bacteroidota; Bacteroidia; Bacteroidales; Bacteroidaceae.